AUCCAGCUGACGAGUCUGAAAUAGAAUGACACGCACGUCCUGGAU
RNAcentral lists this non-coding RNA (45 nucleotides) under Schistosoma curassoni. Lineage: Eukaryota; Metazoa; Platyhelminthes; Trematoda; Strigeidida; Schistosomatidae. The record is from RNAcentral.